CCUACGGGAGGCUGCAGUGAGGAAUAUUGGUCAAUGGGCGGGAGCCUGAACCAGCCAAGUCGCGUGAGGGAAGACGGUCCUAUGGAUUGUAAACCUCUUUAGGCGGGGAGCAAUGCCGGGCACGCGUGCCCGGAGGGAGAGUACCUGCAGAAUAAGCAUCGGCUAACUCCGUGCCAGCAGCCGCGGUAAUACGGAGGAUGCGAGCGUUAUCCGGAUUUAUUGGGUUUAAAGGGAGCGUAGGUGGAUUGUUAAGUCAGUUGUGAAAGUUUGCGGCUCAACCGUAAAAUUGCAGUUGAAACUGGCAGGCUUGAGUACAGUAGAGGUGGGCGGAAUGCGUGGUGUAGCGGUGAAAUGCUUAGAGAUCACGAAGAACUCCGAUUGCGAAGGCAGCUCACUGGACUGCAACUGACACUGAGGCUCGAAAGUGUGGGUAGCAAACAGGAUUAGAUACCCGGGUAGUC
Molecule: ribosomal RNA, 461 nt
Filed under: uncultured bacterium
Lineage: Bacteria
Description: partial 16S ribosomal RNA
Rfam family: Bacterial small subunit ribosomal RNA
Source: RNAcentral